CAGCCUCUAGUCGAUGGACCAAUGUAGGUAAGGGAAGUCGGCAAAACGGGAUCCGUAACCUUGGGAUAAGGAUUGGCUCUGAGGACUGAGCCGGUCGGGCUGGGGACCUGAAGCAGGAACGGCACUGCACCGGGACUGGGCGGGGCUCGCCGUUCACGCGGCGCGGCCAAGCCCGGACCAGCGUCGGGACCUUCCUGUGGAAAGCCUCAGCUGCGCGGCGUCUGAGGGCUUCGUGCCCAAAGUGCUAUGCUUCGGCCGGCAAAAAACAGUCAACUCAGAACUGGCACGGACCGGGGGAAUCCGACUGUCUAAUUAAAACAAAGCAUUGCGAUGGCCGCUGGUCGGUGUUGACGCAAUGUGAUUUCUGCCCAGUGCUCUGAAUGUCAACGUGAAGAGAUUCAUCAAAGCGCGGGUAAACGGCGGGAGUAACUAUGACUCUCUUGUGGUAGCCAAAUGCCUCGUCAUCUAAUUAGUGACGCGCAUGAAUGGAUUAACGAGAUUCCCACUGUGUAACUCCAUCUUUGGUAAAGUAUUAGAAAAAUUAAUUAACAAUAGGCUGU
RNAcentral lists this non-coding RNA (560 nucleotides) under Ixodes scapularis (black-legged tick). RNAcentral describes it as "Eukaryotic large subunit ribosomal RNA". It matches the Rfam family "Eukaryotic large subunit ribosomal RNA", at positions 1877 to 2401 of the family's 3401-position model. Lineage: Eukaryota; Metazoa; Arthropoda; Arachnida; Ixodida; Ixodidae. The record is from Rfam by way of RNAcentral.